This 83-nucleotide transfer RNA is filed under the name Filobasidium floriforme. It matches the Rfam family "tRNA". From Rfam's summary of the family: Transfer RNA (tRNA) molecules are approximately 80 nucleotides in length. Their secondary structure includes four short double-helical elements and three loops (D, anti-codon, and T loops). Further hydrogen bonds mediate the characteristic L-shaped molecular structure. tRNAs have two regions of fundamental functional importance: the anti-codon, which is responsible for specific mRNA codon recognition, and the 3' end, to which the tRNAs corresponding amino acid is attached (by aminoacyl-tRNA synthetases). tRNAs cope with the degeneracy of the genetic code in two manners: having more than one tRNA (with a specific anti-codon) for a particular amino acid; and 'wobble' base-pairing, i.e. permitting non-standard base-pairing at the 3rd anti-codon position. RNAcentral also lists the same sequence under 1 other name. Lineage: Eukaryota; Fungi; Basidiomycota; Tremellomycetes; Filobasidiales; Filobasidiaceae. The record is from Rfam by way of RNAcentral.
GCGAAUAUGCCGGAAUAGGUAAACGGGCUUCUCUUAAGAAGAAGUGCAGUAGUUGCUUAAGAGUUCGAUUCUCUUUAUUCGUA